CUGGGUCUGAGGGAGGAGGGGCUGGGGACCCAGGGCCCUGGGUUACUGCGAGGGAGGAGGGACUGAGGCCUUGGCUCCUGGGUCCCCCAGGUCUGUGGGUUUGGGGAGGUGGAGGACCAGUCCUUCUGCGAGCAAAGCAUCCCCCUCCUUUGAGAGUGGCCCUAUCCCAAAAGUCCUGACUCUUGGGGCCGAUGACUCAGCAGAUGGGAGAGAGGAGGGGGACAGCCUGACUCAGGGAUGGGAAAUGCUCCCGGUCUCCAGGGAGUAGAAACUGGAAUCCCUCCUCCAGGAUUGAUCGCAGCCCGAGCUGAGCCGGGCUCCGCGAACCCAAGGAUGCCCCCAACCCCCCUUUCCCCGCCUCAAUCCUUUAAGCUGCGUAAGGAUUUGGAGAUCGGCCUAGAGGCGGGUCCCAGGUCCCCCUCCUCCCCCCUUUUUCCCCGUUGUCCUCAAGGCUCUGUUUACAGGAGACGGGAGCCCUGGUUACAGGAGAGGAACCCGAGUGUCCGGGCUGAACCUCCUCGUCACGGCUUCCAGGAAGCCCCCACUCCCCCGCCCCUUGCGAGUGAGUCACGGGCGAGCAGGAGGCCACAACCGUGCCAGAGCCGCCCGCGGCCCGCCCAGCUCACGAGACCGGCCCGGGAAGGCCCCUCAGCAAGCGCCGCACCAGGGAUUCCCCCCCGCCGCUCUCGGACGAAGCAGGUCGACGUGGAGCCUGGCAGAAUCUCCCCACCUUAAUACAAGCCCGCAGCCUGCAAGAAUGAACUUUCCACCAUUAUAACUGCGCACUGUGGCAAUGAUUUCUACCCCCACAUUUUCACUCAGGGCAUCCAGCUCUCCAGCACCCCUUAGAAAAUAGUCUUCCUAGAUCUUAAGAGGGUUUUCACUUAGGGCGACCCUUUGAUAACAAAAGAUGUGCCAGUGUGGGGAAUGAUCCUUGAAAAUGUAGUCUGGGCGGGGUGCGGUGGCUCACACCUGUAAUCCCAGCACUUUAAGAGGCCGAGGCAGGUGGAUCACCUGAGGUCAGGAGUUCGUGACCAGCCUGACUAACAUGGUGAAACCCCCGUCUCUACUAAAAAUACAAAAAUUAGCUGGGCGUGGUGGCCGGCGCCUGUAAUCCCAGCUACUCGGGAGGCUGAGGCAGGAGAAUCACGUGAACCCGGGAGGCAGAGGCUGCAGUGAGCUGAGACCGCGCCAUUGCACUCCAGCCUGGGCAACAAAAACGAAACUCCAUCUCAAAAAAGAAAAAAAAAAGGAGGCCCGGCCGGCUUGGUGGCUCACACCUGUAAUCCCACCACUUUGGGAGGCCGAGGCGGGUUGAUCACGGAGGUCAGGAGAUCGAGACCACCCUGGCUAACACGAAAUGGGGAUUCGCCGUGUUGCCCAGGCUAGUCUCAGACUCCGAGCUCUAGUGAUCCGCCUGCCUUGGGCGCCCAAAGUGCUAGGACUACAGGUGUGAGCCGGGCAGGAGAGUAACUUCACUUUGGUUUCCUCCUGCCUUAAAUGGGCAUACCACCUGGCAUUAGGAUUAAUGUGCGUAAAGUACUUAGAACUCAGCCCAGGUGAGUUCUCCUUAACUCAGCCUAGAAGAGAUCAUCCGCCCGAGGGUGAGGGGGCUAGAGCCGCCCUGUGAAUUGGGAAAGGAGGCCCCUUUUCAGCCUUGCCAGGUAUCCUGGACCCCACCCAACCCACUCACUCACCCACCCAACCCCAGCAAGUGGGGAGAGGGAGAGCAGUCCAGGUCUCCUUAUCUGUCUGGGCUGUUUAGGAGUGAGACCACACAAGGCAGGCAGUUCUCAGAGAAUUCCCCUCCAAGGCCUGCUGGCUCUUUCUUGGCACUUUGCUCUGCAGAUUUCUUUCCGUAAGUGCUUAUUUCUCACAGUCUUUCUCCUUUUUGUCCAGUUUCUUUUUCUUUUUAAUUUUUUUAAAUAGUAUUUUUUGUAGACAUGGGAUCUCACUGUUGCCCAGGCUGAUCUUGAACUCCUGAUCUCAGGUAAUCCACCUGCCUCAUCCUCUGAAAGUACUGGGAUUGGCCGGGCUUGGUGGCUCACACCUGUAAUUCCAGCUCUUUGGGAGGCGGAGGUGGGAGGAUCGCUUGAGCCCCGGAGCUGGAGAUUAGCCUGGGCAACAUAGGGAAACCCCGUCUUUCAAAAAAAAAAAAAAAGAAGAAGAAAAAGGAAAGAAAAACACAAAAAGUGCUGGGAUCACAGGUGUGAGCCACUGCGCUCAGCCCCUUUCUGUUUCUUUUUGUGAUCCUCCCAACCCUCUUCUCCCUCUGAAUCUGUCUCUGGGACUGUCUCUGUCUCCCCGUCUUCCCUCCCUUCCUCACCCUGUCUAUCUCUCUCUGUAUGUCUCUUGGUGUGUGUGUCUCUCUCGAUGUUUUUCUCUCUGCCUGUCUGCCUGUCUGUACCCCUCUGCGUCUCUCCCCGCCCCCAUCCGUCUGUGUCGCACGCGCACCCCCAUCGGGCUUCUGCUCUUGUCAAUUGCCCCUGGGGCCCUGCCCCCACCUCCGCCCCAGUUUCCUUCUACAAGCCUCAGUCUCCAGCUUUGAAAACUGGGCAGGCGUCCCCCCA
RNAcentral lists this long non-coding RNA (2570 nucleotides) under Homo sapiens (human). Its description in RNAcentral is "HSALNT0397914". The record is from RNAcentral. Lineage: Eukaryota; Metazoa; Chordata; Mammalia; Primates; Hominidae.